AUGGCCCAGGAGCGCUGCCUGCUCAUGAAGGGGGUGAUCAUAUUCACCGACCCCUACAUCGUCCGCUUCUCCAACAUGGACUUCCCGCACGACCCACUCAACAACGAGUGGAACUGGAACGAAGGAGUUGGUUUAAAUGACAGUUCAACUCAUCCUCAUCUGUUUUCUCUUGUUUUUAUUGAAGAAGAGAACCCAUCCCCAUCCGUAGAGCAGGCCGCGGGUGAGGGACGAGAGCGGCCCAAAUUCCCAACCCAAAUCACGGGCCCAGCUUUGCCGACUCUGCUGCAUCUCUCCCCUUUCUCUCCUCGCCGAGCGGAGACGAGGACGCCCCGCCCGCCGGACCACCGACGGCGCAAGCCACCGCCACCUCCAAGGAAGGCCGUACUCUUCGUGCUGCGGCUACUCGCCGGCGCAGCGAGUCUCCCGAGUCCCACCACCGCGGAUCGCCGGCCAUCCGUCCAUGGCAGCGUCGUCCACCACCGGCGUCAGCAGGACCAGCACGGCGGCGGGCAACAACGUCAGCACCGAGUUCGGCCUCGCUCCCCAAACCUCCCAUCCCGCCUGCCGCCACCACCACGGCCGCUCAAGGUUCCUUUAAUGGACCGUUUUCUCAAACUGGAAAGUAUGUACCUGCACCUCACUCCAUAUCAAGAUCCUGCAACAGGACGAGAUGAAGGGAUGCUUGAAUAUAUCCCUUCCAGUAUGCUUGCACACGUAACUUCAUAUUGA
Molecule: ribosomal RNA, 729 nt
Filed under: Triticum aestivum (bread wheat)
Lineage: Eukaryota; Viridiplantae; Streptophyta; Magnoliopsida; Poales; Poaceae
Description: partial small subunit ribosomal RNA
Source: RNAcentral